Molecule: long non-coding RNA, 646 nt
Filed under: Cucumis sativus (cucumber)
Lineage: Eukaryota; Viridiplantae; Streptophyta; Magnoliopsida; Cucurbitales; Cucurbitaceae
Description: long non-coding RNA (CSAT_LNC001730)
Source: RNAcentral
CUACUAGUUAAUCCUUAUGGUUCGGUUUAUAACACUCUCAAAGAGAAUUCCAUUGAGAAACAGAUGCCAGUUAGGGCAGUUGAUGGAUUCUUGCUUCCAGAAGAGAAAUUGCGAGGUGUUUUCCUUCAAAAACUGAAUGGUAAAACCGCAAUUGAGCAUGCAUUAGCUAAUACUGAUGUGAUUUUGAGUCAAGAUGUUGUCAGCAAAGUAUUAAACACUGGGAGUUUAGGUAGCGAAGCAAUGGUUACCUUCUUUUAUUGGGCUAUUAAACAGCCGUCGAUACCUAAAGAUGCUUCUAGUUACAACAUAAUUCUUAAAGCUUUAGGUAGAAGGGGUUUUUUUGACUCCAUGAUGGAUGUUUUGUACAACAUGACACGGGAGGGAGUGGAGGCUACAUUGGAAAUGGUCUCCAUUGUAGUAGACAGUCUGGUCAAGGGUCACCAAGUUUCUAAGGCACUUCAAUUUUUCAGAAACUUGAAAGAAAUUGGGUUGAAAUGUGAUACUGAAACCUUGAACAUUCUUCUACAAUGCAUGUGUCGACGAUCCCACGUUGGUGCUGCAAACUCCUUCUUUAAUUUAACCAAGGGGAAUAUCCCUUUCAAUGUCAUGACAUAUAACAUUGUAAUUGGUGGAUGGUCAAGAUACG